GUUUUUAUAGUUUAAUUAAAACAUUGGUCUUGUAAAUCAAAAAUAAAUAAGAAAUUUUCUUUAAAAACU
This 69-nucleotide transfer RNA is filed under the name Stathmopoda auriferella. Its description in RNAcentral is "tRNA-Thr". It matches the Rfam family "tRNA". Rfam says of the family: Transfer RNA (tRNA) molecules are approximately 80 nucleotides in length. Their secondary structure includes four short double-helical elements and three loops (D, anti-codon, and T loops). Lineage: Eukaryota; Metazoa; Arthropoda; Insecta; Lepidoptera; Oecophoridae. The record is from RNAcentral.